GGCUGAAGUCCAGAGGCCAGAAUGAGACUAGGACAUGGUUCCUUUGCCUAAGUAAAGUGAGGCAGACAAUGGAAUACUUCAGACUUCAAAUUAGUAUGAUUUUCAAAAUGUCUUACCUCGAACCACCACCAGAUGGCUAUGAGAAUGUUACAAAUAUUGUGCCACCAUAUAAUGCUUUCUCAGCCCAAGGCAUGCCAGAGGUAAAAUAAAAUACAUUUGUAACCCAA
This is a long non-coding RNA of Gorilla gorilla gorilla (western lowland gorilla), 227 nucleotides long. RefSeq lists it as uncharacterized. The record is from RefSeq and is a predicted model, not a curated record. Lineage: Eukaryota; Metazoa; Chordata; Mammalia; Primates; Hominidae. The transcript has 2 exons.